AACGCGAAGAACCUUACCUGGUCUUGACAUCCACGGAAGUUUUCAGAGAUGAGAAUGUGCCUUCGGGAACCGUGAGACAGGUGCUGCAUGGCUGUCGUCAGCUCGUGUUGUGAAAUGUUGGGUUAAGUCCCGCAACGAGCGCAACCCUUAUCCUUUGUUGCCAGCGGUCCGGCCGGGAACUCAAAGGAGACUGCCAGUGAUAAACUGGAGGAAGGUGGGGAUGACGUCAAGUCAUCAUGGCCCUUACGACCAGGGCUACACACGUGCUACAAUGGCGCAUACAAAGAGAAGCGACCUCGCGAGAGCAAGCGGACCUCAUAAAGUGCGUCGUAGUCCGGAUAGGAGUCUGCAACUCGACUCCAUGAAGUCGGAAUCGCUAGUAAUCGUGGAUCAGAAUGCCACGGUGAAUACGUUCCCGGGCCUUGUACACACCG
Molecule: ribosomal RNA, 434 nt
Filed under: uncultured bacterium
Lineage: Bacteria
Description: bacterial SSU rRNA
Rfam family: Bacterial small subunit ribosomal RNA
Source: RNAcentral